UCCAUAUAUUAUCCAUAUCGUUAUAAUUCAGAGAGGCAAAAAGAGCAUAUCUUAUAUAAUAAUUGUUUGUCCACAGUAUCAGAACCAUGGUUAUUUAGAAAUUAAAGGAGCAUCUUAUUUGUCUAUACCAUCAUUAAUUAGCUAGGUUGUCUUAACAGAAACAACCCUAGUUACUUUUAAAUUUAAUUCGAUAUAUAUAAUUUUUUUUAAUAUAAUUUGGAUACCACCGUACGUGGACGUCGUUGAUCAUGGUGAUCUUUCUGUUUCCGAUGGUUUCUCUGAUGGUCCUUGCUCUUCCUCCACCGGUCUCGCCGUGAUCGCCAUGACAUCAAUGCAGCUUUGGAGAAGCUUCUCGGCAAUUGCUUCUAACUCAGCCUCCGUGGUCGUGUCGUUGCUGACGCGCACAUUGACGGCUUUAGUCAGAUCAAGCAAGUUCUCCGACAGUUGCUUUCUCUUGCUCUCCAUUGCUAGCUCUCGGUUCUUAAUUAUUCUCUCUUCUCGAUCUUUUUUUUUUUUUUGUGUGAUUAGACGAAAUUUCGUUUGUGAUUCUGUAACUAAGCGUAAUUAAUCACCUCUGUUUAUAUAGGAGAUAAUUAGCUUAUACAUAUCUUGGUUACUAGACUUGUUCUUUAAGUUUUGUUUCGGCUUAUAGUGUUAAGCUUAUAUGUUUGCUGACUUGGUUAAGCGUAAGUGUGUUUUACGUGUUGCAUUAGGUCUUCUUUAAUUUAACACUUUUGUAUACAUGACAUGCACAUCUACACGUAACACGUCUAUUUUUAAAAAUUUAAACCACACAUGUGUAUAAUAAUUAUUAAACCUCUAUAUCUUAAUACAAAUGCGAUGAUAAUUAAUUCUUAUACAACAAUUAAUUUUAUUUCACAAUCUCAUCACUAUUUAAAACAUCAAUAGAUCUCACAACAAUUAAAUUUAUUUUUACAAUCUCAUAACAAUUUUUUUUUUUUCUUAUUCAAAAAAAAACAUCGAUAGAUCAAUUGAUAUGUUUUUGUUUCGGAUUUAAGAUUAAUGUACGUCGAUCGAAUUGAUUUUCUAAUUUCUAUAUGGUUGCAGUAAAAAAGUAAAAACAUUAUUGUAUAAGAUGAUCGGAGAAUUAUAGUCAUCCGAACCUUUAAUAAGCAUUAGUGUGUUACACGUCAAGUCCCUCUUUAGUUUUGCAUCAUUUGUGGCCGUUGAAAAUGGCUAUACUAGAAAUUAUGUGCAUUGAUUUUUUUUUAAAAUGAGAAUAGUUAGGGAUGCAAUUUGAUAAUGGUAAAAAUUGGAAGAAAAAAUUAAGUGAAAAAUGCAAUUAGUGGACGCCUACUUAAGGUAAAAGAAUAAUGAAAAGACAAAGCAUAUUCGAAGGUAGACGAUGAAAUUAGUCUUUUUUAGUAGACGACUACGACGACAACAACAAUAACGUACAGUACUAAUUAUUAUUUAACAUAUUAUUAUUUUUACAAUAACUUAGUAAUCUCAAUUAUGAUUUUGUUCACCUUUAUGAUAUUAUCUUAAUUCCAUCAAAAAUAUUAAUAUAGGCUCAACUCUUAUUAAAUCGUAUAAUAUAGUAAUAUCGAUGUAAUGCAACAUUUACAGUCAUCUUACGAUGAGUGUUGUUUGUUCAUUAUCAACUCCAGUAGUACCGAUUCUGUCAUUCACAGAGAGAGCUAAAUCUCUGUCGGAGAUUCAACAAGCUCAUGCCUUUAUGCUCAAAACAGGUCUUUCUCAGGACACUUAUUCUGCGAGCAAGCUUAUUGCCUUUGCUGUAACGAACCCAGAACCCAAAACUGUCUCUUACGCUCACUCCAUUCUCAAUCGGAUCGAGAGCCCUAAUGGGUUCACUCACAAUUCCGUCAUCAGAGCUUACGCUAAUAGCUCUACCCCUGAGAUGGCGUUGGUCGUGUUUCGUGAUAUGCUUCUUGGCCCUGUUUUCCCCGAUAAGUACAGCUUCACGUUCGUGUUGAAAGCUUGUGCUGCUUUUUCUGGGUUUGAAGAAGGAAGGCAAAUUCACGGUCUUUUUAUGAAGAGUGGUUUGAUGACUGAUGUGUUUGUUGAGAACACUUUGGUUAAUGUUUACGGAAGAAGCGGUUACUUUGAGAUUGCGCGUAAAGUGCUCGAUAAAAUGCCUGUGAGAGAUGCUGUUUCUUGGAAUUCGCUUUUGAGUGCUUAUCUUGAGAAGGGUUUGGUGGAAGAAGCUCGUGCGUUGUUUGAUGAGAUGGAGGAACGGAAUGUGGAGUCUUGGAAUUUUAUGAUUUCGGGUUAUGCGGCUGCGGGAUUGGUUAAGGAAGCCAAGGAGAUUUUUGAUUCUAUGCCGGUGAAAGAUGUGGUUUCUUGGAACGCUAUGGUGACUGCUUAUGCACAUGUGGGUUGCUACAACGAGGUUUUAGAGGUUUUCAAUGAAAUGCUGGAUGAUUCUACUGAGAAACCAGAUGGUUUUACUCUUGUUAAUGUUUUAUCUGCGUGUGCUAGUCUUGGAUCCUUGAGUCAAGGUGAGUGGGUACAUGUUUACAUAGACAAGCAUGGGAUUGAGAUUGAAGGGUUUUUGGCUACAGCUCUUGUGGAUAUGUAUUCGAAGUGCGGGAAAAUUGAUAAGGCUCUUGAAGUGUUUAGAGCUACUUCAAAGAGAGAUGUCAGUACAUGGAAUUCUAUAAUCUCAGGUUUAAGCGUCCAUGGUCUUGGAAAGGAUGCUUUAGAGAUUUUUUCGGAGAUGGUGUAUGAAGGUUUCAAACCAAAUGGUAUCACAUUUAUUGGUGUUCUGUCGGCCUGCAAUCAUGUGGGUUUGUUGGACCAAGCUCGCAGACUUUUUGAAAUGAUGAAUAGUGUUUAUGGGAUUGAGCCAACUGUUGAACACUAUGGUUGUAUGGUGGACUUGCUUGGUCGGAUGGGUAAAAUUGAGGAAGCAGAAGAACUUGUGAAUGAGAUUCCAGCAGAUGAGGCUUCGAUGUUACUAGAAUCUCUUCUUGGUUCCUGUAAAAGGUUUGGAAAAUUGGAACAAGCAGAGCGUAUAGCAAAUCGAUUACUGGAAUUGAAUCCACAUGAGAGUUCAGGUUACGUUCAGAUGUCAAACUUGUAUGCAUCUAAUGGAAGAUGGGAUGAGGUUAUGGAGGUGAGAAGAAAAAUGAGAGCAGAAAGAGUAAACAAGAAGCCUGGAUGUAGCAUGAUUGAAGUUGAUGGGGUCGUCCAUGAGUUCUUAGCUGGUGAAGGACUAAGAGUCGACUAAACUUGGUAAUUUUCCAAAAAAUAUGUUGGUCUUAUGCUGUCAAUUAAAUAGAAUUACUAUCAGUUUUAAUGGUAACCAAGAAGCAUGAAGUUAGGGGAGUUGCAUCCUAGAAAGCUUAACCUAUUAACAGAUCAUAAUGAUGAAUCAUGCACACAUCUUUAUAGCACUAUUCUACACCAAAAUUAAAAAUUCAUAUCAUUAUGCACCUGCUGAAACACACUGAUGAUCAUAUCAUGAUAUUCAUUGGUAUUGAGUCUGAGAUAACAAACCAGAAGCUCUUUGAGUUCUUCAGGGUGGUUGAUACCAUUCUCCAUGAUCAUCUCGAUCAUCGAAUCUCUAAAAUCUUUUUGAGGAUCGCUCGAGCAUUUCACUACUGCAAAGCUUUCGUUCUCCGUUCCUCCAUCUGUUGUUUCUAUCAGAAGCUCUUGCUCUCGUGCUCUCAGUUUAGCCUUCUUCAAGUCUUCAAUAGCUUUAACUCUGCAUUUUUCAGAUGCUCGUGGUGAAAAUACUCUAACCUUGUUGUUUUCUUUUGUUCCUAAUCUGUUUAGCUCCCUUUUGAGGUACAUCGACUUUCUCUGUUGGUCGGCCUUCAGCUUCACUUCUCUUAGUUUUACUUCCUUGAGUUUUUCCCACUGAUUAGUUGAUUUUGUUACGGUAUGACCAAGAAUCACAGAAUCCUCUUUACCGUAACUUCCUGUACCUGUCCUUCUCGAUGUUUUUUUUGCCUUCACCUCUACAUCUUGUUCUGAUCUCUUUGGCUUUUGUUCGAGAAGCCUUUGAUCACGUCUCUCACAUCUCUGCUUAUCUCUGUUCACCUGAAUUCUUGGCGUCAUAAUCACAUUUCCUUUGUCUCUAUCCAUUGCCUCUACUUCCAGAAAGCCACACGUCUCUCUUUGGAAGUCUCUUACUUUCUUCCUUACACUGCUCAUUAUCUCUUCAAACUUCUCAUUUGACUCCCUAUCUGCUGAUCUUGCUGCAGCGUUCUGCUUUUCUACUUGUAUUCUCUGAAAGUUUUUUCUGCUCUCACUAAUAUCAUUUCGAUGUGUAGUAGAACUCAAGGAAGAUUUUGUAGACAUGGUAUGGCUAGCUUUAGUAGAACUCAAGGAAGAUUUUGUAGAAUUCAAGGAAGAUUUUGUAGACAUGGUAUGGCUAGCUUCAUCAUCUUGCUUCUUUUCUUUUGCAGGUUUCAAGUCAGAAGAACCGCUUAACUUUGAAAACCAAGAACCAGGAAGAGCACGAGACAAACCGGAAGAAGAAGAAACAGGUUUUUUCCUUCCCCAUUUCAUCAUUCCGAACGAUACAGGAUUUUGGAAAAGGUUUGGUGCGUCUUUGAUAAAACCGGGUUUCUUAGGCUAGAGGCCGACUAUGAAGAGAUGUAUAAAAAUGAAGAGAUGUAUAGAAUGAAGGGAUGAUGUAUCUAGAGCUUACUGAGUCUGCUGUAAUAUUGUUAGGUCGUUGUGUUUAAUAGGGAGAUGAACUUAACGGGUAAGAGCCAGUUGCAGUUUGAAAAAAAAAGAACCAAACCCGCCUGAAGAAUCCUGUGACCACUUUUAGCCUAAUUAACUUUUUCUUUUAUUGGUUCUGACGUUCUGUUAUCUCUGGGUACGUUCUGGAAUUUAUACCAAAGUGGGGGACCAAAUUUUUAUCAAAAAAAAAAAAAAAAAAAACCAAACUUCAUUGAUGACAAAGACUUAAGGCUCUCUCUUUCUCUCUCUCUUUUUCUCUUCUUUCCGUGUAACGUGACCGACGCAAGAACCACAAGAAUCUUCCCAUCUUUUUAGUUUGUAGUAGCUGUCUCAAUACCGUCAUAACAUUGAGUUCUUAGAUCAUGGAAUCUAGUGGCUUUUGCAGUGGUUACCAUUGUUUACAUGAUUUACAUCAUCCCUAUUCCCUAGUGAUCAUGUAAAAACGAACCCCCCGAACCCCCCGAGUGUCUCGUCCAACAUAACAGUAUGAUUGGUACUGGUCCCGGUCUCUCUGGUCCUAAUCUUGAAAGAUGUAUAAAUAAAUAAUCAUGAAGAAGGUAAAGUUUGAUGGAUUCUUUUGGUAUGUGUUAUCUCAAAGUUAGAGAUUUUGUGAAGUUUUGAGGAAGAUGUGGUCCUCACCUUUCAAAAGAACAGCUACAAAAAUCUCUCCAUAUGGUCAUUUGGAUAUAUCACCUACCUUGAGGUAUGGUUUGUGUCAUCCUCCAACAACUUGUUCUUCAUUUUAAUUCAAUUUUUUUUUAGUUUCUUUUUUCUUCUUCUUCUAUAUAACAACAAUAGUAGUAUAGCCAUCAAAAUAAGGAUAGAGAAGGGUUCUAAAUUUAUUUACAUUAUUUUUUUGUGUGUCUCUUGUAUUGUCAAGACUUGGCAUUGAAGCAUUCACCAGUUUCAGGCUCUUCUACUCUCCUAUCUGCAAAGGAAUAAAAGAAUAAUUGCCCCAUCUCGUAAUUAUUAUUUUUUUCCUGACCAAGAUGAUAAACAUAUAAAGAAGAGACUGUAA
This 5698-nucleotide long non-coding RNA is filed under the name Capsella rubella. RNAcentral describes it as "long non-coding RNA (CRUB_LNC001456)". Lineage: Eukaryota; Viridiplantae; Streptophyta; Magnoliopsida; Brassicales; Brassicaceae. The record is from RNAcentral.